CUUGAACUGACCAGCAACCAACUGCAGACGGAAACUGGGGGGAACAAGAAGGAAGAAGCCGAGGGGCGAAAGCGUUACUAAGAGUCGAUGAUAAAAAAUAGCUUAGUAACCCACCAAGGAAAUAAAGAGAUAAUUUCCAAGGAGCUAGAGAGAAUCUCACUUUAGACCCCUUCGAACUUCGAACUAAAAGA
Molecule: non-coding RNA, 191 nt
Filed under: unclassified sequences
Description: IMES-1 RNA motif
Rfam family: IMES-1 RNA motif
Source: Rfam by way of RNAcentral